GUACCGUCAUUAUCUUCCCUAGCGAAAGAGCUUUACAACCCUAAGGCCUUCUUCACUCACGCGGCAUGGCUGGAUCAGGCUUUCGCCCAUUGUCCAAUAUUCCCCA
RNAcentral lists this ribosomal RNA (106 nucleotides) under uncultured bacterium. RNAcentral describes it as "partial 16S ribosomal RNA". The record is from RNAcentral.